RNAcentral lists this transfer RNA (66 nucleotides) under Allacma fusca. Its description in RNAcentral is "tRNA-Val". Lineage: Eukaryota; Metazoa; Arthropoda; Collembola; Symphypleona; Sminthuridae. The record is from RNAcentral.
UGGGGUGUAUCUUAUUUUAAAGUUUUUUAUUUACACUAAAAAGACCCUCGUUUAGAGGCGCCUUAA